This 460-nucleotide ribosomal RNA is filed under the name uncultured bacterium. Its description in RNAcentral is "partial 16S ribosomal RNA". It matches the Rfam family "Bacterial small subunit ribosomal RNA", at positions 338 to 795 of the family's 1533-position model. The record is from RNAcentral.
CCUACGGGUGGCAGCAGUGAGGAAUAUUGGUCAAUGGACGAGAGUCUGAACCAGCCAAGUAGCGUGAAGGAUGACUGCCCUAUGGGUUGUAAACUUCUUUUAUAUGGGAAUAAAACGUUCCACGUGUGGGAUUUUGUAUGUACCAUAUGAAUAAGGAUCGGCUAACUCCGUGCCAGCAGCCGCGGUAAUACGGAGGAUCCGAGCGUUAUCUGGAUUUAUUGGGUUUAAAGGGAGCGUAGGUGGAUUGUUAAGUCAGUUGUGAAAGUUUGCGGCUCAACCGUAAAAUUGCAGUUGAAACGGGCAGUCUUGAGGACAGUAGAGGUGGGCGGAAUUCGUGGUGUAGCGGUGAAAUGCUUAGAUAUCACGAAGAACUCCGAUGGCGAAGGCAGUUCACUGGACUGCAACUGACACUGAGGCUCGAAAGUGUGGGUAUCAAACAGGAUUAGAUACCCGAGUAGUC